This 73-nucleotide transfer RNA is filed under the name Patiria miniata (bat star). RNAcentral describes it as "tRNA-Ser". It matches the Rfam family "tRNA". From Rfam's summary of the family: Transfer RNA (tRNA) molecules are approximately 80 nucleotides in length. Their secondary structure includes four short double-helical elements and three loops (D, anti-codon, and T loops). Further hydrogen bonds mediate the characteristic L-shaped molecular structure. tRNAs have two regions of fundamental functional importance: the anti-codon, which is responsible for specific mRNA codon recognition, and the 3' end, to which the tRNAs corresponding amino acid is attached (by aminoacyl-tRNA synthetases). tRNAs cope with the degeneracy of the genetic code in two manners: having more than one tRNA (with a specific anti-codon) for a particular amino acid; and 'wobble' base-pairing, i.e. permitting non-standard base-pairing at the 3rd anti-codon position. Lineage: Eukaryota; Metazoa; Echinodermata; Asteroidea; Valvatida; Asterinidae. The record is from Rfam by way of RNAcentral.
AGCUCGGUGGUCGAGUGGUAAAUCGUCUGCACUAGAAAUCAGGAGGUCGUGGGUUCGAGUCCCACCCGAGUGA